GUAGUCCACGCCGUAAACGAUGAAUGCUAAGUGUUGGAGGGUUUCCGCCCUUCAGUGCUGCAGCUAACGCAAUAAGCAUUCCGCCUGGGGAGUACGACCGCAAGGUUGAAACUCAAAGGAAUUGACGGGGGCCCGCACAAGCGGUGGAGCAUGUGGUUUAAUUCGAAGCAACGCGAAGAACCUUACCAGGUCUUGACAUCUUUUGACAAUCCUAGAGAUAGGACUUUCCCUUCGGGGACAAAAUGACAGGUGGUGCAUGGUUGUCGUCAGCUCGUGUCGUGAGAUGUUGGGUUAAGUCCCGCAACGAGCGCAACCCUUAUUGUUAGUUGCCAGCAUUAAGUUGGGCACUC
RNAcentral lists this ribosomal RNA (350 nucleotides) under uncultured Lactobacillus sp. RNAcentral's name for it is "bacterial SSU rRNA". It matches the Rfam family "Bacterial small subunit ribosomal RNA", at positions 790 to 1140 of the family's 1533-position model. Lineage: Bacteria; Bacillati; Bacillota; Bacilli; Lactobacillales; Lactobacillaceae. The record is from RNAcentral.